Molecule: ribosomal RNA, 989 nt
Filed under: freshwater metagenome
Description: bacterial LSU rRNA
Rfam family: Bacterial large subunit ribosomal RNA
Source: RNAcentral
UAUAACGGUCCUAAGGUAGCGAAAUUCCUUGUCGGGUAAGUUCCGACCUGCACGAAUGGCGUAACGAUGGCCACACUGUCUCCUCCCGAGACUCAGCGAAGUUGAAAUGUUUGUGAUGAUGCAAUCUACCCGCGGCUAGACGGAAAGACCCCAUGAACCUUUACUGUAGCUUUGCAUUGGACUUUGAACCAAUCUGUGUAGGAUAGGUGGGAGGCUUUGAAGCGGGGACGCUAGUUCUCGUGGAGCCGUCCUUGAAAUACCACCCUGGUUUGUUUGAGGUUCUAACCUUGGCCCGUUAUCCGGGUCGGGGACAGUGCAUGGUAGGCAGUUUGACUGGGGCGGUCUCCUCCCAAAGUGUAACGGAGGAGUUCGAAGGUACGCUAGGUACGGUCGGACAUCGUGCUAAUAGUGCAAUGGCAUAAGCGUGCUUAACUGCGAGACUGACAAGUCGAGCAGGUACGAAAGUAGGACAUAGUGAUCCGGUGGUUCUGUAUGGAAGGGCCAUCGCUCAACGGAUAAAAGGUACUCUGGGGAUAACAGGCUGAUUCCUCCCAAGAGUUCAUAUCGACGGGGGAGUUUGGCACCUCGAUGUCGGCUCAUCACAUCCUGGGGCUGUAGCCGGUCCCAAGGGUAUGGCUGUUCGCCAUUUAAAGUGGUACGUGAGCUGGGUUUAAAACGUCGUGAGACAGUUUGGUCCCUAUCUGCCGUGGGCGUUGGAAGUUUGAGGGGGGCUGCUCCUAGUACGAGAGGACCGGAGUGGACGAACCUCUGGUGUACCGGUUGUCACGCCAGUGGCAUCGCCGGGUAGCUAAGUUCGGAAGAGAUAACCGCUGAAAGCAUCUAAGCGGGAAACUUGCCUCAAGAUGAGACUUCCCGGGAACUUGAUUCCCCUAAAGGGUCGUUCGAGACCAGGACGUUGAUAGGCUGGGUGUGGAAGCGCAGUAAUGCGUUAAGCUAACCAGUACUAAUUGCCCGUGCGGCUUGUCCCU